Molecule: non-coding RNA, 878 nt
Organism: Coffea arabica (coffee)
Lineage: Eukaryota; Viridiplantae; Streptophyta; Magnoliopsida; Gentianales; Rubiaceae
Source: RefSeq, a predicted model, not a curated record
AGUGGUAUCAACGCAGAGUUUUAGUCACUCUUGAAGCGCAAGUUUUGUGUUUCUAUCAUAAAAUUAUGUUCUAGAGGUCCAACUCUUUGCAUUCACCAGCCAAAAAAAAAGUGGAAUUAGGACUGGGUUAUCAAUUAAAAUGUCGCACUGCCCCCCUGGAAAACCCGCAGAUAAAAAAGUAAGAGAUCAAUUUUGAACUCCUCCUGUCCUUAGUAGUUCUUAGUUUUCAAAAUGUUAUUUGCACACAACAAAGCAUUAGCCACCAUACAUCACAUGCUCUUCAAGGCUUUCAUCUUUCUUGUCAUCAAAAGUGUGUACUUAGUCGUCUUAAAUUAUAGUAAGAUGACAUGCAAAAAUAGUAGUGGACUAUUAGAGUCCAGAAAAUCUUCAUUUCUAAUGUGACUUUUUGUAGUCUUAACCUCUAAUGUUCAAUGGAUUAUGGCCUAUCAAACUGCAACAAGUCCAAGCCCUGUUGUUUCUUCAAGAUCCACAAAAUGCAUAAUUGUCGAGAAUCUUCUUUAAAUGUCAAAAGUUUGUUCCAAUACUUUUUGGCGACAAACGUAAUCUAGCAUGCUGAAUUGAGUAUUAAACGAAAAGUAAAAUGAAUAUAGACGUGCAACUACAAUGACCAUCAUUCAGUUAGGUACUUACAUUUUACAGUCUGUGCACUGUGAAUUAUUACCUGUCCCAUGAAAGCAAUAUAUUACACUGCAAAUUUUACAGGCCCGCAAAAUUCUCUUACUUUCAAGUUUUUACUCAUGAGAAAGCUUUAUUUUUCAGAACCGUUCUACUUCUCUUUAUAGGAAAAAUGCACUAGGAUAUUCUGAUGGAAAAUAGAACAGAUACAAAACUAUUGUAAGAUGAAUGAUGUGAAACAA